AUCAUGAUUACAAGCUCAUUGCAUUCAAGUUUGAAAAUGGGAGGACAUUCAUGUGCAAUUUUUUACCUUCAAAACUCAUAUUUACGAUUAUUCCAAGAGCACGUUAAGACAGCAUUAGCAGCACAGAUAAAUUACAUCUUUAUUGUGUCUGUUACCCUUUUGUGCUAAAUAUUUCUGCAAUACAUUUACGCUGCAGAUUACGGACACUGAAGACUAUAAGCAGAAAGUUCAAUUCUGGGUGGCCAGAAGUUAUAUUUCAGUGACCUGGUUACCUUCUCUCUCUGCAAACCCAAAGGAUCACUUUCCUCAGCGGAUCUGCCCCAAUCAUAAUUAACGGGACCACAGUGGAGAGAGUGAGCAUCUUCAAUACCUUCAAAUGCCCUGCAAAGAGUAGCUGAGCACAUGUCCAGAACAUCUCUCCCCUCUCUGCAAGACAUCCAAACCAGGAGAUGUAAAUCUAGGGCUGUUAAGAUCCUUAAAGACCCCA
This is a long non-coding RNA of Carassius auratus (goldfish), 487 nucleotides long. RefSeq lists it as uncharacterized. The transcript is spliced from 3 exons. Lineage: Eukaryota; Metazoa; Chordata; Actinopteri; Cypriniformes; Cyprinidae. The record is from RefSeq and is a predicted model, not a curated record.